CUUGGGGUCAUCCGUUCCAUUUCCUCCUUCUCUCCAUUCUUUUGCUCAGGAAGUCGCUCACCUUUAGGAAUUGUCCAGAAAGACGAUAGUAAUAGCAAAGAGAGAGAAACAGACGCAAUGAGGCUUGGUCGUUUUUUUCGAGGUCUCACAGCCAGGAUAUGAAGACCUGCAAAUUGGUUGCCUCCAAAGACCACAGUUUUUGAAACCAGACUGGAAUGCUUCUGGAGAACCCUGGAGCCAGGCUGGCAUGUUCCAAACCCUUCCUGGCCACUUCUUGGCUGUAUCGCUUCGCAUCAGGGGUUUCCCUCUCUGAGCCUCACCUGUCUAUUCUGGAAAAUGGAUGUCAGAUAGCAUCUACUCACAGAGUUAAGAGGAUUAACUGAGCUCUGGGGUCUAGUAUGUGAAAUAUAGUACAUGAUUACUCUAAGUCAAAAGGCAAAGUGCUGACUAACUUCACCCACAGUGAAUUAAUCCGUUUCUCUUCCCUUGUAGACAUUUAAUUAAGACCUGAAUUUCCCAUGCGGACUCACAAGUUCCAAGCUCACACAAACUGCUGAAUAAAAAUAUUAAUGGGUUGCACUGAGUACACAAUAUCUCUACUGUGAAGAAAAAGGAAAAAAAAAGAAUUAAAAAUGUAGAAGCUCCUGGGUAUUUACUGUUCACACAAAAACCUGCACACAAAUGUUCAUAGCAGCUUUAUCCGUAAUAGCACAAAGCUGAAACAAUCUGAAUAUCCUUUAAGCAGCCAGUGGAUAAACAAACUGGUAUAUAAAUACAAUGAAAUACUACUCAGCAAUAAGAAGGAAUGAACAAUUGAUACAAGCAACAAAUUGAAAGGAUCUCAAGGGUAUUAUGCUGAAUGAAAAAAACCCAAUUUCAAAGGGUGGCAUAGUGUAUGAUUCCAUUUGUAUCAUAUUCUCGAAGUGGCAAAGUUAUAGUGAUAGAGCACAGGCCAGCCACCGCUGGUUCGAGUUUGGGGGAGGGUGCAGUUAUUUAGGGGGUAACACAAGAGAGUGUCUUUCUGGGGAUGGAACCAUUCUGUAUCCUGAUUGUGGCAAUGGAUAUGCAAAUCUUUACAUUUGAUAAAAUUUCUUAGAACUUAGAAGUACUGAUUAAACCCCAAUCAGGUCUGUAACUAAUUAAAUAAUGUAGCACUAUCAAUCCCUGGUUUCAACAAUAUACCACAAGAUAUCAUCACUGGGGAAAAACUGGGUGUAGGAUACAAAGGAACUCUGUUCUAUUUUUUGUAACUUCUUAAAUUAUUUCAGAAUAAAAAGAUGUAAUUCAAAA
Molecule: long non-coding RNA, 1290 nt
Organism: Rhinolophus ferrumequinum (greater horseshoe bat)
Lineage: Eukaryota; Metazoa; Chordata; Mammalia; Chiroptera; Rhinolophidae
Exons: 2
Source: RefSeq, a predicted model, not a curated record